CGUGUAGGCGGUUUGUUAAGUCUGAUGUGAAAGCCCCGGGCUCAACCUGGGAAGUGCAUUGGAUACUGGCAGACUUGAAUACGGGAGAGGGCAGUGGAAUUCCUGGUGUAGGAGUGAAAUCCGUAGAUAUCAGGAGGAACACCGGUGGCGAAGGCGGCUGCCUGGACCGAUAUUGACGCUGAGACGCGAAAGCGUGGGUAGCAAACAGGAUUAGAUACCCUGGUAGUCCACGCCGUAAACGAUGAGUACUAGGUGUUGCGGGUAUUGACCCCUGCAGUGCCGCAGCUAACGCAUUAAGUACUCCGCCUGGGAAGUACGGUCGCAAGACUAAA
RNAcentral lists this ribosomal RNA (332 nucleotides) under uncultured bacterium. RNAcentral's name for it is "bacterial SSU rRNA". It matches the Rfam family "Bacterial small subunit ribosomal RNA", at positions 568 to 898 of the family's 1533-position model. The record is from RNAcentral.